AUCACGUAUCAUACGCGGAGGAGCCUAUCCUGAGCGGAUGAUCCUCCCUCUGCUGUUAGGAGCCAGCCUUGCUGAAUUAUUCACCCGUGUCUUUUGCGUACUUCUUGUUUCCUUGGUGGGCUCGCCCACCACAAGGACAAACCAUAAACCUUUUGUAAUUGCAAUCAGCGUCAGUAACAACAUAAUAAUUACAACUUUCAACAACGGAUCUCUUGGUUCUGGCAUCGAUGAAGAACGCAGCGAAAUGCGAUAAGUAGUGUGAAUUGCAGAAUUCAGUGAAUCAUCGAAUCUUUGAACGCACAUUGCGCCCUUUGGUAUUCCAAAGGGCAUGCCUGUUCGAGCGUCAUUUGUACCCUCAAGCUUUGCUUGGUGGUGGGCGUGCUCGCUCCAGUUUGCUGGAGACUCGCCUUAAAGUCAUUGGGGGCGCGGCCUACUGGGUUCGGAGCGCAACACAAAUCGCGCUCUCUUUCCACCCAAGGGACGGUCUCCCAAAACCUUUUUCUCCAUUUUAGGCCUCAGACCGGGUAGGGAAUACCGGGUGAAUUUCCCCUUACAUACCCGAGAGAAGAUUAUCAAUAAGCGGAAGAACCUU
RNAcentral lists this ribosomal RNA (592 nucleotides) under Alternaria brassicae. RNAcentral describes it as "eukaryotic LSU rRNA". The stretch from base 193 to 346 matches the Rfam family "5.8S ribosomal RNA". The record is from RNAcentral. Lineage: Eukaryota; Fungi; Ascomycota; Dothideomycetes; Pleosporales; Pleosporaceae.